AUUGAACGCUGGCGGCAGGCCUAACACAUGCAAGUCGAGCGGAGCGGCGGACGGGUAAGUAAUGCCUAGGAAUCUGACUGGGAGUGGGGGAUAACGUCCGGAAACGGGCGCUAAUACCGCAUACUCUCAGAUGAGCCUAGGUCGGAUUAGCUAGGUGGAGGGGUAAAGGCCUACUAAGGCGACGAUCCGUAACUGGUGUGAGAGGAUGAGCAGUCACACUGGAACUUAGACACGGUCCAGACUCCUACGGGAGUCAGCAGUGGGUAAAAUUGGACAAUGGGCGAAAGCCUGAUCCAGCCAUGCCGGGUGUGUGAAGAAGUUCUUCGGAUUGUAAAGCACUUGAAGUUGGGAGGCGUUACCAACAGAAUAAGCACCGGCUAACUUCGUGCCAGCAGCCGCGGUAAUAC
This 407-nucleotide ribosomal RNA is filed under the name uncultured bacterium. RNAcentral's name for it is "partial 16S ribosomal RNA". It matches the Rfam family "Bacterial small subunit ribosomal RNA", at positions 30 to 526 of the family's 1533-position model. The record is from RNAcentral.